RNAcentral lists this unclassified non-coding RNA (348 nucleotides) under soil metagenome. RNAcentral describes it as "partial contains 5.8S ribosomal RNA, internal transcribed spacer 2, and large subunit ribosomal RNA". The stretch from base 1 to 120 matches the Rfam family "5.8S ribosomal RNA", at positions 35 to 154 of the family's 154-position model. The record is from RNAcentral.
GAUGAAGAACGUAGCGAAAUGCGAUAAGUAAUGUGAAUUGCAGAAUUCAGUGAAUCAUCGAAUCUUUGAACGCACAUUGCGCCCGCCAGUAUUCUGGCGGGCAUGCCUGUCUAAGCGUCAUUUCAACCCUCAUGCCCCUAGGGCGUGGUGUUGGGGAUCGGCCAAAGCCCGCGAGGGACGGCCGGCCCCUAAAUCUAGUGGCGGACCCGUCGUGGCCUCCUCUGCGAAGUAGUGAUAUUCCGCAUCGGAGAGCGACGAGCCCCUGCCGUUAAACCCCCAACUUUCCAAGGUUGACCUCAGAUCAGGUAGGAAUACCCGCUGAACUUAAGCAUAUCAAUAAGCGGAGGA